AUUGAACGCUGGCGGCAUGCCUUACACAUGCAAGUCGAACGGCAGCACGGGAGUAAUCCUGGUGGCGAGUGGCGAACGGGUGAGUAAUGUAUCGGAACGUGCCCAAUCGUGGGGGAUAACGCAGCGAAAGCUGUGCUAAUACCGCAUACGAUCUAUGGAUGAAAGCGGGGGAUCGCAAGACCUCGCGCGAUUGGAGCGGCCGAUAUCAGAUUAGCUAAUUGGUGGGGUAAAAGCUUACCAAGGCGACGAUCUGUAGCUGGUCUGAGAGGACGACCAGCCACACUGGAACUGAGACACGGUCCAGACUCCUACGGGAGGCAGCAGUGGGGAAUUUUGGACAAUGGGCGCAAGCCUGAUCCAGCAAUGCCGCGUGCAGGAUGAAGGCCUUCGGGAUGUAAACUGCUUUUGUACGGAGCGAAAAGGCUCUCUCUAAUACAGGGGGCUCAUGACGGUACCGUAAGAAUAAGCACCGGCUAACUACGUGCCAGCCGCCGCAGUAA
RNAcentral lists this ribosomal RNA (500 nucleotides) under uncultured bacterium. Its description in RNAcentral is "partial 16S ribosomal RNA". It matches the Rfam family "Bacterial small subunit ribosomal RNA", at positions 30 to 523 of the family's 1533-position model. The record is from RNAcentral.